UUAUGGUGUCCAGAUAACCAUUUGUUAGAUAGCUCUCAUCUGCAUCAAGAUUAAGGUACUGUUUGGGGUUGCUGUUGCAGACAGCAACAGCAGCUUUUUGCUGAAAAGCAGGUGAAAAACUGUUUGAUAAAUCUAAAAGCAGCUUUUCCGAACAGCAGUUUUUAGCUGAAAAGCUGCUGUUAGAAAAAGGAGGUCCUCCCAUGCUUUUAGAAAAAGCUGCUUUUCAGUUUUUGCAGAAUGCUGUUAUAAACUUCAUUAUAAAAUCUCACCAAAAUCAUUAUUUUUUUAUAUUAUAACCCAAAAUAAGUAAAUAUUAAAAAAAUUACCAAACAGUUAUCUGAUUUCUACAACAGCACUUAUUUUACCAGCACUUUUUCUAACAGCACAUCAAUUUUUAACAGCACUCCCAAACAGACCCUAAUUAAAACUGAUUGCUUUAUUUGUAUGAAUUCUAUUAUAGACAUUAAUUUAUUAAUAACAUGCUUAUAUAGUUAUAUGUUAUUGCAGUUGUAUGCUGACCCUAAUUUGGGAAAUCGUACCUUUAAGUGGUACAAGACCUCGUUCAAGCACAUUUUUGAACUGAUAAAUUCCCAUAAAUGCACAUGCAGAAAUUGUCCAAAGCAAAACAAUAGGAAUUCCAAGUGAAUGUGCUGCAUCAGCCGUGAAUGGCAGAAAACCAUCGGAGAGUAUAGAAGUGACCUGAUGCGUUCCAGCAUUAAGCUCUGCGAGGAGAUUCUGAAAUGGAGGCAGCAUUCUUUUUUCAAAGACGGAUACCAAAAGUUAAGGUAUGUCUUGGGUUUUGUCAGCAUCAGAUGGAGGAAGGCCAUCAGUGAUGGUUUGGAAUCUGAAACUAGCUACGUCUCCUAGAGAUUGAAGACCUCCUGAUUUGAGAAAGCGUUUGUGGUUGAACUUCGUGUUCACAAAGGUAAUAAAAAUGCCUUUGCUGUGAAGGAUCCUUGCCAUUUUCAGUAUACCCUUAAUGUGGCUUUGAGAAGGGGCAGGUAUGCAAACUACAUGAGCCUGCUUCUUUGCUGCUGUGCUUGCGGAUGAAUCCAUAGAUGUUCUAAUAAAAUUUUGUGUUAGUACCAUGCCACACCCUUCCAAGCUUAUUAUGUGAUACCAACCGUGUUAGAGCGUCUACAACAAAUUGGUUACGUGAUGUUAAAGCGAAUGAUCCAAAUGAAAUACUCGAAAGUUAAGAAGUAGGGACGUAGAGUUAUCUUCUUGGCGAUUAUGAUUAUUCAGCAGUGACAGAGAGUUUUCAGCAUCCUAGCAUCAUAUGUUUAUGCUCCUUCCCAUUCUUAACGGACUGGAAAACAAAUUAAGUGAUAGUGCAGAAGGUUUUCGAAAUUCAAAUUUAUCUACUGGUUGAAAUUUAGAAGCUGUGCUACAUCGAUAUGAAUAGAUUUUCCUCAAUCAUUCACAUAGAUUCAGCAGUCGUGAAACGCUUACAUUUCUAUAUGACAUUAUGUUCAAACUUUUCUGAAUCUGUAUGAGCACAGAGAAAAGGAAAUAAAACGGAUCUAUAUGAACCAAAACCAACUAGCAAUUGUGAAACAUGC
This 1562-nucleotide long non-coding RNA is filed under the name Daucus carota (carrot). RNAcentral describes it as "long non-coding RNA (DCAR_LNC005658)". The record is from RNAcentral. Lineage: Eukaryota; Viridiplantae; Streptophyta; Magnoliopsida; Apiales; Apiaceae.